GACGAACGCUGGCGGCGUGCUUAACACAUGCAAGUCGAACGGAAAGGCCCUGCUUUUGUGGGGUGCUCGAGUGGCGAACGGGUGAGUAACACGUGAGUAACCUGCCCUUGACUUUGGGAUAACUUCAGGAAACUGGGGCUAAUACCGGAUAGGAGCUCCUGCUGCAUGGUGGGGGUUGGAAAGUUUCGGCGGUUGGGGAUGGACUCGCGGCUUAUCAGCUUGUUGGUGGGGUAGUGGCUUACCAAGGGUUUGACGGGUAGCCGGCCUGAGAGGGUGACCGGCCACAUGGGGACUGAGGGACGGCCCAGACUCCUACGGGAGGCAGCAGUGGGGAGUCUUGCACAAUGGGCCGAAGCCUGAUGCAGCAACGCCGCGUGCGGGAUGACGGCCUUCGGGUUGUAAACCGCUUUCGCCUGUGACGAAGCGUGAGUGACGGUAAUGGGUAAAGAAGCACCGGCUAACUACGUG
This 468-nucleotide ribosomal RNA is filed under the name uncultured bacterium. RNAcentral's name for it is "partial 16S ribosomal RNA". It matches the Rfam family "Bacterial small subunit ribosomal RNA", at positions 28 to 507 of the family's 1533-position model. The record is from RNAcentral.